UGAGAAACAGGCCUAUUUCAGGUGGACUGAUCGCUGAGGACUUUUGGUGAGCUUCGCUGAAAAUGAAGAUCUCGCUAGGUGUUCUGCUUAUUUUACCGACAGUCUGUCAAUCGUCAUCUUCUUCUUACGGAUGGCAUCCUUGCCCUACAAAGGAGGAAUACAGAGGAAAAUGCUUGCUAGGUAACGUAGCCAACGAAAACUAUUGCCCGAAAGUUGGCGCGCAAUGGUGCAGUAAAUACAACUAUGACUCUGUUCGGAGACGCCCUUGCGUAUGCUGGGCAGGAUGGUGUAGGAAUAGGCAUAACCGCUGUACACCUUGUGACCAAUGUGAUACUUGUGUAUAUAGAGGAAAAGAGCUUUCAAAUUCAACAUACGAAUACUUUGAUAAGGAGUGUGAAAGGGCAAUAUGCCGUAAUCGUGCACCGUAUGUUGAAAGGCCAGAGGGCCUCCCUCUUGUCUGCUGCCAUCCCUCCUCAGGAUAUACCGGUGGAGCUGUUUCUUCGAAGCGGAACCAGCAAUCUUCCUGUGGCUUUGGUACCCACAAACGGGGUGAUGAUCCGUAUGAAGGAUCCUAUAAAGCCAUUGAAACAGAACUUCGGGCAGUCUCCACUCACAGCAAAUCACAGAGGUUCUACAGUUUGGACGCGGGGGGAUCCUCUGCUCGCCGUCGGACCAGGCUUGUGUGCAAGAUCUGCUAAAAUGCACUAAUUUCGCUACGCACCCCAUGCCCCAAAAGAACGUUUCCACCAUUUGGAAGCUGCGUAUACACACGUUUUCCAGGCCAUUACCCGACGUGCUGUAAAUGGGAACGAACAUGUUAGUAGCGAGAGAAGAAUAUUUUAUCGUCUUUCGCCAGUUCUUUACAGCUGUUCUUUUACACGAGGUCAGAAGGGCUGUGGCUAAAUAGAUAAUAAAAUAUAUUUUGCCCU
Molecule: long non-coding RNA, 929 nt
Organism: Dermacentor silvarum
Lineage: Eukaryota; Metazoa; Arthropoda; Arachnida; Ixodida; Ixodidae
Exons: 6
Source: RefSeq, a predicted model, not a curated record